GGCUCAAGCCGAUGGAAGUUGGAGGCAAUAACAGGUCUGUGAUGCCCUUAGAUGAUCUGGGCCGCACGCGCGCUACACUGACAGAGCCAACGAGUUCUUUCCCUUGGCCGGAAGGUCUGGGUAAUCUUGUUAAACUCUGUCGUGCUGGGGAUAGAGCAUUGCAAUUAUUGCUCUUCAACGAGGAAUGCCUAGUAAGCGCGUGUCAUCAGCACGCGUUGAUUACGUCCCUGCCCUUUGUACACACCGCCCGUCGCUACUACCGAUUGAAUGGAAGGGCGACACGCGAUUGCAG
Molecule: ribosomal RNA, 292 nt
Filed under: Acidomyces richmondensis BFW
Lineage: Eukaryota; Fungi; Ascomycota; Dothideomycetes; Mycosphaerellales; Teratosphaeriaceae
Description: partial small subunit ribosomal RNA
Rfam family: Eukaryotic small subunit ribosomal RNA
Source: RNAcentral